CCCACCUUCUUUGCGUUGUUCUGGAGGACCUAGAGACAACUGCGGCAUACCUGAAAGAGGUUCAACGAUGACAUCCUUGAGGAGCUGGUGCACAAGUCCCACUACAGCACCUACAGGGUCAAGGUGCAGGUGCAGCAGGCCGAAACCACUGUCCAGUGCUAGUCUUAAAGUGAGAGCUGGGCCGGGGGAUUCUUCACACUCAAGAACCUGAGAUGACCUGACAGGGCCAGACUUCUGGGCUCCAAUAUGGGGAUGGCUUCCUUGGGGUCCUCCCAGUGCUCUUUGUGAAGUGUCCUACCAUCCCAUGCACAUGGGAAUCUGGACCUCCACUUGUACCACCAGCCACAUUGGAUGGGAAAAAGACACUCCUCAUAUAUUUGAAGGAAUAUUAGAGAAAAAAAGAUGUUGAACUUCACAGUAGACCACAUGAACACUUUUGUUUUGCUCUUUUGUUUUUACUACCUGCACCAAGUUUCUGGUGAAGCAGUCAUCUCCACUGUCCUCAAAGACCUCCAAAUCUUCCACAUCAUUACACUGGAUUAGGGGGUUUUGUACACAAAAACAUGCAGUAAUUAAAAUGUUGGAUCAUUCCCCUGUAACCUUUCUGUUCACUGACCAGGGCAAACCAUUGUAAUCUGGCAGGUUAGGAGAUGUGAGCUUACUCAUCUUCAUAAUAUCUCAUAAAGGAGGUAGUUUCUACAG
Phyllostomus discolor (pale spear-nosed bat) is the source of this 702-nucleotide long non-coding RNA. RefSeq lists it as uncharacterized. NCBI's taxonomy places the organism in Eukaryota, Metazoa, Chordata, Mammalia, Chiroptera, Phyllostomidae. The record is from RefSeq and is a predicted model, not a curated record. The transcript is spliced from 2 exons.